RNAcentral lists this unclassified non-coding RNA (329 nucleotides) under soil metagenome. Its description in RNAcentral is "partial contains 5.8S ribosomal RNA, internal transcribed spacer 2, and large subunit ribosomal RNA". The stretch from base 1 to 120 matches the Rfam family "5.8S ribosomal RNA", at positions 35 to 154 of the family's 154-position model. The record is from RNAcentral.
GAUGAAGAACGUAGCGAAAUGCGAUAAGUAGUGUGAAUUGCAGAAUUCAGUGAAUCAUCGAAUCUUUGAACGCACAUUGCGCUCCCUGGUAUUCCGGGGAGCAUGCCUGUUCGAGCGUCAUUACAACCCUCAAGCUCUGCUUGGUGUUGGGCCCCGCCGCCCCGGCGGGCCCUAAAGUCAGUGGCGGUGCCGUCCGGCUCCGAGCGUAGUAAUUUUUCUCGCUUUGGAGGCCCGGGCGCGUGCUCGCCAUCAACCCCCAAUUUUUUUCAGGUUGACCUCGGAUCAGGUAGGGAUACCCGCUGAACUUAAGCAUAUCAAUAAGCGGAGGA